GAUGCUCCUCUUUCUCCUCUUUGGGGUUCAGCUUUUGGGAUCAUUGUCGUAGUCGUCUGCCUCGCUGUCUGUAUUUGGUGGUUAAAGAGGAAACAUCAAACUCCCCAACAGAACCAGAGUCAAGGAGAUGGUGUACUGGCUACUUAUCAACCACCAAAUGAAACAGAGGAAACCAUCCAUUACGGGGAGAUCAACUUUUCAGUGCGAGGACCUGAACAGCUCUCUGUCUCAGUGCAGGACAGUGGACAGCAGCAGGAUACACUGUAUGCACAGGUCAAAGUGUCCAAGCCAGCAAGCAGCCGAACACAGCCUGCUGACGGUCCAGAAGAUAUCUACGCUCAAGUGAGGAAAAAAUGAGUGGAUUAAAUUCAUUUCAUUAAGUUUCAUUAUACAACUUUUUUUUGUUCCUUUUUUUUUUAACUUAUUACAGCUCAUGUUUUAUCUAGUUGAGCACAGCGUUAGGUCAGGAAGGCCACAAAGUCACACUCUACUAUCAUGCCAGAGUUUUAGUAACAGCUGAUCUCACGCAAACCUCAUCAGCUGAUGGCCAGCUGAUUUCU
Molecule: non-coding RNA, 560 nt
Organism: Labrus bergylta (ballan wrasse)
Lineage: Eukaryota; Metazoa; Chordata; Actinopteri; Labriformes; Labridae
Source: RefSeq, a predicted model, not a curated record